This 21-nucleotide microRNA is filed under the name Arabidopsis thaliana (thale cress). RNAcentral's name for it is "ath-miR8170-3p". The record is from miRBase by way of RNAcentral. Lineage: Eukaryota; Viridiplantae; Streptophyta; Magnoliopsida; Brassicales; Brassicaceae.
UUGCUUAAAGAUUUUCUAUGU